AACGAACGCUGGCGGCAUGCCUAACACAUGCAAGUCGAACGAGACCUUCGGGUCUAGUGGCGCACGGGUGCGUAACGCGUGGGAACCUGCCCUUAGGUUCGGAAUAACUCCCCGAAAGGGGUGCCAAUACCGGAUAAUGUCUUCGGACCAAAGAUUUAUCGCCUUUGGAUGGGCCCGCGUUGGCUUAGCUAGUUGGUAGGGUAAAAGCCUACCAAGGCGACGAUCCAUAGCUGGUCUGAGAGGAUGAUCAGCCACACUGGGACUGAGACACGGCCCAGACUCCUACGGGAGGCAGCAGUGGGGAAUAUUGGACAAUGGGCGAAAGCCUGAUCCAGCAAUGCCGCGUGAGUGAUGAAGGCCUUAGGGUUGUAAAGCUCUUUUACCCGGGAUGAUAAUGACAGUACCGGGAGAAUAAGCUCCGGCUAACUCCGUG
RNAcentral lists this ribosomal RNA (433 nucleotides) under uncultured bacterium. RNAcentral's name for it is "partial 16S ribosomal RNA". It matches the Rfam family "Bacterial small subunit ribosomal RNA", at positions 29 to 507 of the family's 1533-position model. The record is from RNAcentral.